CAGGAGAAAAGGAGAUUGGACAGCUUUGAAGAACUACGGACCACUGGAUAAAAGAAUGUGCUCAAGAAUCUUCAAAGAAAAUGAGUGGUAGACUAAACUGGCUGAACUUGCUGAAGGGUUCUUGAGGUUCAGACUUCAGAGAUUUGUAUACACCUUGUCUUGAGAGCUGGUUGUGGGUUCUUCCUUCUUGGAAACCCUUUGGACCGCUGGAAAAAGGUUGUACCAGACUCAGAUGAAGAUGAACUAAGAAUGAAUUUGCAGAAGCUUUUGUGAGGUUCAAGAGCUUAAAGCUCUGAUACGUACCAUGAAAUAAAAGACAGAGAAUGGUGUUUGAGUGUAUGUGAGAGUCUGGUUGAGAGUGAACAAGAGAAAGACUGAGAAAUAGAGAUAAGAGAAUUGAUGAAGGAGAGAGUUAAUUUUCACUUCAGAGAGUAUGAGAGAUUAUGGAGAGUUUAAGAGAGAUUGAAAGUGACCAAGAGAAUACAGAAUGGUGAAGAAGAAAGGGGAACUUGUAACGACCCGCUCCCGGAGUAUUUUUAAUUUUGAAGAAAAUAGAAUGCAGGAGGUUUUAUUCUAUAAGGAUCGUAUUUUUCUAAGUGUGGAGACACUUGUAUUCGUGAAUAUUGGAAGAAUAAAUGUAUUUUUAACUAAGUGAUGGAUCUUCAGUGAUAUCAUUGAAAUAUUCAGAAUGGGUUGAGCGACGGUAAACCGAUAAUGGAAUGAUCAGAGCAUACAUACGGAGAAAUUAAGACCGCGAGACCAAUUAAAGAAUGUUCGGUUGUUGGAUAAUGUGGGUUCCAGGUAAGGAAAGUUUGACUAGCCAUAAUUGCGGGAUAAUACAAAAGGAAUUUCGGAUCUGCGGAAAUCAGCUAAGGAAAGAAUCAAAGAUAUCAAAUCAAGCCAUUGAUGGUGGUGGUCUUUGACCAAGCCAAAUAAGGAAACUGGCAUUAAGUGUCUGACUUGGUGAGAAAUCUUGGGAAAUUCUAUAUAAGGACCCCUUUAGCUCUCAUUUUUUCACACAAUUCAGAAAACAAGAUUAGAGAGAAGUUAGAGAGCAGAAACUAGUUGGUAAAGAGAGAAGUCCGAAGAAGAGGGAUUCAGCAAGGAGGAGCUAAGGAGUUCAUCGCUUGAAAACGCUAGGUAGUUCAAAGUCUUCGAAUCUUUGAGAUUAAGUUAAGGUGAGGAUGUGAUUCGUGGCAGUCCAAUAAUAAUUGUUUGUCUGGUUUGAUUAGUAUGAUCGUGUUUAUGCUUGGAUAGAAUUCGUUUAUGGAAAAUUUGUUCAUCGUGUUCAUAAGAAAAUGUAUGAUAGAAUUUGUUUAAGGAAAGUUUGUUCAUUGUGUUCUUAAGAAAUGCAUUCUAGAAUUGAUGAAUUGAUAAUAAAAUUAUGCUAGGAUGUUUAUGUGAGAAAUGAAUGUUUGAUCUUGAGAAUCUAAGUCAUAAAAAUAUAAUGCAUUUAAAGAAAGUAUAAUCGAAUUGAGUUAAUUAAGGGAACUGGUUAAGAGGAUGUAAGGGACCUUCGGGUCGAAGGUUUGGCUAUGAGCCGUAAAGUACUGAUGGGUCGAAGGAUUGGCUACGGCCGCAGGUAUGGCUUCGACCGCAGGUUUGGCUACGGCCGCAGGUAUGGCUUCGGCCACAGGUUUGGCUUCGGCCGCAGGUUUGGCUUCGGCCGCAGGUUUGGCUACGGCUGCAGGUAUGGCUUCGGCCGCAGGUAUGGCUUCGGCCAUAGGUUUGGCUACGGCCGCAGGUUUGGCUUCGGCCGCAGGUUUGGCUUCGGCCGCAGGUUUGGCUUCGACUGCAUGUUUAGUUUCGGCUGCAGGUUUGGCUUCGGCCACAGGUUUGUCUUCGGCCGCAGGUUUGGCUUCGGUGCAGGUUUGGCGACGCCCGCAGGUUUGGCAUCGGCCGCAUGAUUAUGGACCUUCGGGUCGAACGGUUAAGGAAUGUAAAUGUAAUGAAAAUGAUGGAACUAGUUAAGUAAAAGAAUGAUAGAACUGGAUGCUAUGGUGUUAGUAUUGAUUCAGUGCUUGAUUAUUGGACUGUGGUGGGCGGUAUUGAGCGUCUUCACUGAGUAAUUUUGUAUACUCAUGCCUCCUUUGCGAUGCAGGUAAGGUUGAUUGUGUGGACCGAAGUGCGAGACUAUAAAGACCAUCGAAGCUAGGGUGUAUGAACUUGGGUAAUGUUGAGAAGUUUUGCAAAAGAUAUUUUUAUUGUAAAAUACAUGAUUUUAAGUAUUUAGUCUUGUGUUUUAAUUUAUAAAGUUGAAUUAUUUUUCAUGUUCAUCCGAUAAAAUUUGACUUGAUCUUUUACUUAGAGGUGUUUAUGGGUUGAGGUGUUUCAGAACUUCCAACUUUCAGCUUAGAUUGCAAUUGAUUACAAUGGUGGCUUUAUAUAGCCAAAGCAAUCAACAAUCCUAGACAAUUAAACUAGUAAUAUUGUGGAGAAACAUAAACAAAUAAUAAACUAGAGGCAAGUGGUUUGAUGUGACAGAUUUAAGCUCCAAGAGUUUAAAAUUCAAAUACACUCAAUUGGCUCCAACAAACGUGUGGAUGGAUGGAUUGUUGUGAAUGGGUCGACUGUGGAUGAGUUGGCUUGCAGAUGAAUGGCUGUAGAUGGGUUUGUUUGGAUAGUUCAACUGUUUUCUUCUGAUGCCUAUUAUGGAUAAGUUACCUGCUCUUCUCCGGGAAGAGUUGGAGAAUGCAUUUGAAGAUGAUCUCGAUAGCAUUUUCGACAUCACGAACUCCGGCAAUCACUUGAUCAAAAGAAACGGAGAACUGAAACUGAACUGAGAACGGAUCAAAGAAAAAUUCAAAGUGAUGAAUGAGAAGCUGAACUCUCGCGAGUUUGCUCAGAAUCUAAACCCGCCUUCGUUGCAGUAGUGACUCAGGUCAUCACGAUAUCUCUCUUUUCAAUAUAUGUAUUUUGUUACUUGUAGGUUAAGAAACAAUCUAAGAGUGUAUUUCAUGAGGGAACAUCUGCCUUUCAACUUUGGAUGUCCCAAAGAAAAAAACAAAAGUAUCUUUACAGUUUGA
Molecule: long non-coding RNA, 3026 nt
Organism: Brassica rapa (field mustard)
Lineage: Eukaryota; Viridiplantae; Streptophyta; Magnoliopsida; Brassicales; Brassicaceae
Source: RefSeq, a predicted model, not a curated record